GUGGGGAAUAUUGGACAAUGGGCGCAAGCCUGAUCCAGCCAUGCCACGUGAGUGAUGAAGGCCUUAGGGUUGUAAAGCUCUUUCAGUGGGGACGAUAAUGACGGUACCCACAGAAGAAGCCCCGGCUAACUUCGUGCCAGCAGCCGCGGUAAUACGAAGGGGGCUAGCGUUGUUCGGAUUUACUGGGCGUAAAGCGCACGUAGGCGGAUCGUUAAGUCGGGGGUGAAAUCCUGGAGCUCAACUCCAGAACUGCCUUCGAUACUGGCGAUCUUGAGUCCGGAAGAGGUGAGUGGAACUCCUAGUGUAGAGGUGGAAUUCGUAGAUAUUAGGAAGAACACCAGUGGCGAAGGCGGCUCACUGGUCCGGUACUGACGCUGAGGUGCGAAAGCGUGGGGAGCAAACAGGAUUAGAUACCCCAGUAGUCC
This 425-nucleotide ribosomal RNA is filed under the name uncultured bacterium. RNAcentral's name for it is "bacterial SSU rRNA". It matches the Rfam family "Bacterial small subunit ribosomal RNA", at positions 354 to 796 of the family's 1533-position model. The record is from RNAcentral.